AUUAAUAUGGCAGAGUAGUGCAACGAAUUUAAGAUUCGAGUAAAAGAAGCUUUUCUUCUUUAUUAACA
RNAcentral lists this transfer RNA (68 nucleotides) under Macrogyropus costalimai. Its description in RNAcentral is "tRNA-Leu". The record is from RNAcentral. Lineage: Eukaryota; Metazoa; Arthropoda; Insecta; Psocodea; Gyropidae.